Molecule: unclassified non-coding RNA, 343 nt
Filed under: soil metagenome
Description: partial contains 5.8S ribosomal RNA, internal transcribed spacer 2, and large subunit ribosomal RNA
Rfam family: 5.8S ribosomal RNA (bases 1-120)
Source: RNAcentral
GAUGAAGAACGUAGCGAAAUGCGAUAAGUAAUGUGAAUUGCAGAAUUCAGUGAAUCAUCGAAUCUUUGAACGCACAUUGCGCCCGCCAGCAUUCUGGCGGGCAUGCCUGUUCGAGCGUCAUUUCAACCCUCGAGCCCCCCCGGGGGCCUCGGUGUUGGGGGACGGCACACCAGCCGCCCCCGAAAUGCAGUGGCGACCCCGCCGCAGCCUCCCCUGCGUAGUAGCACACACCUCGCACCGGAGCGCGCAGGCGGUCACGCCGUAAAACGCCCAACUUUCUUAGAGUUGACCUCGGAUCAGGUAGGAAUACCCGCUGAACUUAAGCAUAUCAAUAAGCGGAGGA